GGUCAGCCUGCCCAGUGAUAUAAUUCAACGGCCGCGGUACCCUAACCGUGCGAAGGUAGCAUAAUCACUUGUUCUUUAAAUAAGGACUUGUAUCAACGGCAUCACGAGGACUGUACUGUCUCCUUUCUCCAAUCAGUGAAACUGAUCUCCCCGUGAAGAAGCGGGGAUUAACCUAUAAGACGAGAAGACCCCAUGGAGCUUAAAGCCCACACAACUCUAUGCAUUUAAAUCAAUAUAGCCCAAGAAACCUGCAAACGGCUUUAGGUUGGGGGGACCGCGGAGUAAAACCUAACCUCCACGACAAACGGGCAUACGCCCUUAUCCAAGAAUGACAAUUCUAAGAAUCAAUAAACUGAUGUUUAAUGACCCGAUUAUUCGAUCAACGAACCAAGUUACCCUGGGGAUAACAGCGCAAUCUACUUCAAGAGCCCCUAUCAACAAGUAGGUUUACGACCUCGAUGUUGGAUCAGGGUAUCCUAGUGGUGCAGCCGCUACUAAAGGUUCGUUUGUUCAACGAUUAAAACCCUACGUGAUCUGAU
RNAcentral lists this ribosomal RNA (539 nucleotides) under Amolops hongkongensis (Hong Kong sucker frog). RNAcentral describes it as "partial 16S ribosomal RNA". It matches the Rfam family "Bacterial large subunit ribosomal RNA", at positions 1851 to 2609 of the family's 2925-position model. The record is from RNAcentral. Lineage: Eukaryota; Metazoa; Chordata; Amphibia; Anura; Ranidae.